GGCUCAGUGGUAGAGUGUUGGUCUGGAAAUCCAACGAUGCGGGUUUGAACCCUGA
Molecule: transfer RNA, 55 nt
Filed under: Lottia gigantea (owl limpet)
Lineage: Eukaryota; Metazoa; Mollusca; Gastropoda; Lottiidae
Rfam family: tRNA
About the family: Transfer RNA (tRNA) molecules are approximately 80 nucleotides in length. Their secondary structure includes four short double-helical elements and three loops (D, anti-codon, and T loops).
Source: Rfam by way of RNAcentral